UGGGGAAUAUUGCACAAUGGGCGCAAGCCUGAUGCAGCCAUGCCGCGUGUGUGAAGAAGGCCUUCGGGUUGUAAAGCACUUUCAGCGAGGAGGAAGGGUUCAGUGUUAAUAGCACUGUUCAUUGACGUUACUCGCAGAAGAAGCACCGGCUAACUCCGUGCCAGCAGCCGCGGUAAUACGGAGGGUGCAAGCGUUAAUCGGAAUUACUGGGCGUAAAGCGCACGCAGGCGGUUUGUUAAGUCAGAUGUGAAAUCCCCGCGCUUAACGUGGGAACUGCAUUUGAAACUGGCAAGCUAGAGUCUUGUAGAGGGGGGUAGAAUUCCAGGUGUAGCGGUGAAAUGCGUAGAGAUCUGGAGGAAUACCGGUGGCGAAGGCGGCCCCCUGGACAAAGACUGACGCUCA
This 402-nucleotide ribosomal RNA is filed under the name uncultured bacterium. RNAcentral's name for it is "partial 16S ribosomal RNA". It matches the Rfam family "Bacterial small subunit ribosomal RNA", at positions 355 to 749 of the family's 1533-position model. The record is from RNAcentral.